RNAcentral lists this long non-coding RNA (980 nucleotides) under Homo sapiens (human). Its description in RNAcentral is "HSALNT0066502". The record is from RNAcentral. Lineage: Eukaryota; Metazoa; Chordata; Mammalia; Primates; Hominidae.
CAGCAAGUUCCCUCGUGUGAAACUGCCCCUUUCUAAGGGGCAGGUUGCAUGUCUGUAACUUCUUUCUUGUUAUUUCUUUUAACUCUUCUAUGACAUAGGGACAUGGAUUAGUGAGGGAAAGCAGCAUAGCAGUGCCUUAUGAAAAUCCAGUUCUUCUUCUAGUCUAUGCGAAUAGCCGAAAAGCCAGCAGGGACCCAGAGGCCGCGGAGCCGGACCGCAGAGUGGAGGCCAGGCCGGUGGGCAGGAGGAGGUGGGAACACCGAAGGCCGCCAGGACUGAAUCCGCUUCUCUAAUGAAAGGGCCCUUUUUUCCAGGGGAUUAUAAGAAUAUUCAUGACCCUUGAGAUCAGCAGACUGGAUUACAGAGGACAUCGGGCAAUCUUAAUCAGCAGUCUGGAGAUUCAUGACCCCUCUCCACAGCCUGACUCCAGGGUACACGGGUAAGAUAAUAGUGACAACAGCCAUGAAACGAAGGGGGCUGGUUUUCCAUGACCCCACACAUUCUGCCUAAGGCCACGCACCUCCCAAAGGCCACGAUGGAUGAGCAGGCGGGCCUGGGCACUCAGGUUUUUCUGGCUCACAGGUAGAAGUGACUUGCCUUGUCUUAGAUGAGACUUUGGACUUUGAACUUUUGAGUUAAUGCUGGAAUGAGUUAAGACUUUGGGGAACUAUUGGGAAGGCAUAAUUGUAUUUUGUAAUGUGAGAAGGACAUGAGAUUUGGGAGAGGCCAGGGGUGGAAUGUUAGAGUUUGAAUAUUUGUCCCCACCCAAAUCUCAUAUUGAAUUGUAAUCCCCAAUGCUGAAGGUGGGGCCUGGUGGGAGAUAGUUGGGUCAUAGGGGCAGAUCCCUCAUGGCAUGGUGUUGUCUUUGAGACAAUGAGUGAGUUCUCAUGAGAUCUGGUCAUCUAAAAGUGUGUGGCACCUCCCUCCCCACUCCCACUCUCUCUUGCUCCUGCGUUUGCCAUGUGAUGCUCCUGCUCCUG